AUGGAUAGGGUGACCAAUUUCUUCGGAGCGCAGUGGGACACGACGACGACGAGCCUCUCUGAGUCCUGCGGCAACCUAUACAAGUUCCUUUUGCCCAGGUUCUGGCGUCCUGUGAGUCAACCGGAUGAUUGUGAUGCUGCCUUCACUAACGCAACCUCAGAGCGACGUCUUCAUGAUCCUGAGAGGGCACUGGUCGUGAUGUAUGGCGAUCGACAUCUAUACUACCUGAAUGCUGUUCCAUUUUUGAUUUCCGAUGAUGGUCCUUCUCCCCCCGCCAACACAGCCUCGACGCCGAUCGAUGGUGGUGUAGCACCGGCAGCAACACUAGCACGCUCUCCGGAUCCUCUUGCUCCCAGGGACCUCCUUACCCUGGAGACCAUACAGGGACCUCCACACCACCUGGAUGGUGAUACAUAUUCGAUUUCGGAUGAUGGUUCCUCUCCCUCCGUAAACACAACUUCGGAUGAUGGUUUCUCUCCCUCCGUAAACACAACCUCGACGCCGAUCGAUGGUGGUGCAGCACCGGCCCCAACACCAGCACGCUCUCCGGAUCCUCAUGCUCCUAGUACCCUGGAGACUGUUAGAAUAAAACCGAGGCAUACCGUUGAUCAUCCGAGGACCAAACAAUCACACCAGCACGACACCGAAAUUUGUUAA
Molecule: ribosomal RNA, 657 nt
Filed under: Triticum aestivum (bread wheat)
Lineage: Eukaryota; Viridiplantae; Streptophyta; Magnoliopsida; Poales; Poaceae
Description: partial small subunit ribosomal RNA
Source: RNAcentral